UAGCCAUAGCCUAAAAGCCUCAGCCAAUGAGAGAAGGCGACAGAAAAGUUUUCUUAGUUGGGCGUGGUGGAGGUCUCUGAUUGGCAAAGCCAAAGUUUUGUAGAAAUCUUGAGCAGUUCUAAGACACCCAUAGUGGUGUACAAACGAAAUUUCGAAGCGGGCCGUUUUAUGUAUUUGUUUCCAUGUUACUAGCCUGCAAUAUUUUUUGUCAGAGUGAGAAAAAUCAACACAGGUGACGCAGUUUUGCUGAAAUCUCCGUCUUGCAAGGCAUCGUCUCCUGUAAUGGAUAACACAGUAGUCCUUGAUAGAAGCCCAUCACAACCCUUGGAUCACCUGUCAAAGCGCGGGGAGAGGACUUGAAAAUUCCACACGGAGUCAAGCAGUUAAUCAAAGCCUAAAAGACAUCAUCGAAAGACGUGCCACUUGCGCUGGCAUAUCGUUAAGACCUGCGUUGAUGAGUCAGUAGUCAGUCGAGAAGCUUCCCAAAAACAACAAAACCGUUAUGACUGGAUGUAAGCGAGAGAAAUCGAGGAAAUGCACAGGAUACAGAGAACCAUGGGGAUUGGAUGAGGGAGUAUCAAACAAAUGCAGAGGAGGAGAGAUCCGCCAUAACAGCAGCGCAUCCGUUGGGG
Long non-coding RNA from Macrobrachium nipponense, 632 nucleotides. RefSeq lists it as uncharacterized. The record is from RefSeq and is a predicted model, not a curated record. NCBI's taxonomy places the organism in Eukaryota, Metazoa, Arthropoda, Malacostraca, Decapoda, Palaemonidae. The transcript is spliced from 5 exons.